Salarias fasciatus (jewelled blenny) is the source of this 534-nucleotide long non-coding RNA. RefSeq lists it as uncharacterized. NCBI's taxonomy places the organism in Eukaryota, Metazoa, Chordata, Actinopteri, Blenniiformes, Blenniidae. The transcript is spliced from 3 exons. The record is from RefSeq and is a predicted model, not a curated record.
UUGUUGUUAUUGUUAUGGUUUUAAUUUUGUAUUUACAAGUUGUUCUAUUUUUUCAGUGCAAUGUUUAUGUAACCCAGCUCCAGAAGGGUUAAUAAAUAAAAUCAAUUAAUUUGCAGUCAUUAUUUAAUUAUUUCCUUAUGUUUAUAAGUGUUUUGUAUUUUACUUUGAAAAACCUGAAGUUUAUUUUGAAGACCGGAAGUAGUAGGCCGCGCUAGUGAAGCAGUUUAACCUCACUAAUGCACAGACGGAGCACGCCACUUCACUUCCGCGUGAGAGAGAAAAACGGGAAAAAAGAGAGAGGAAAAACCGUCGUUGAAGCACUUUCCGGCCGCGUUUCUCCUGAAAAAACCAUUGGUCAGGUUCUAUUGUGAUGCUUGGAAAGAGUGAAGCUUCAGCUUUCAUGUCUGACGAAGCUGAUGAGCGAUCCAACUGAUGGCGAGCUCCCAGUCCACCUUCGGUGCUUCAAGCAGAACUUUUAAUUCCGCCACACCACUUAACGGAUUAAGUGGUAGGAUUUGUGUCAGUCCAACUGAC